This is a small nuclear RNA of Diceros bicornis minor, 141 nucleotides long. RefSeq annotates it as U4 spliceosomal RNA. The transcript has a single exon. Lineage: Eukaryota; Metazoa; Chordata; Mammalia; Perissodactyla; Rhinocerotidae. The record is from RefSeq and is a predicted model, not a curated record.
AGCUUUGCGCAGUGGCAGUAUCGUAGCCAAUGAAGUUUAUCUGAGGUGCACUUAUUGCUAAUUGAAAACUUUUCCCAAUACACCGCCAUGAUGACUUGAAAUACAGUCAUCAUUGGCAAUUUUUGACAGUCUCUAUGGAGA